This 449-nucleotide ribosomal RNA is filed under the name uncultured bacterium. RNAcentral's name for it is "partial 16S ribosomal RNA". It matches the Rfam family "Bacterial small subunit ribosomal RNA", at positions 338 to 795 of the family's 1533-position model. The record is from RNAcentral.
CCUACGGGAGGCAGCAGUGGGGAAUUUUGGACAAUGGGGGCAACCCUGAUCCAGCCAUGCCGCGUGCGGGAAGAAGGCCUUCGGGUUGUAAACCGCUUUCGGCCGGAACGAAAUCGCCGGGGAGAACAUCCCCGGUGGAUGACGGUACCGGACGAAGAAGCACCGGCUAACUACGUGCCAGCAGCCGCGGUAAUACGUAGGGUGCGAGCGUACGUCGGAAUUACUGGGCGGGAUGGGUAAGCAGGCGGUUAAAUCCCCGGGCUUAACCUGGGAACUGCGUUUGUGACUGGCGGGCUGGAGUGCGGAAGAGGGAGGUGGAAUUCCACGUGUAGCAGUGAAAUGCGUAGAGAUGUGGAGGAACACCGAUGGCGAAGGCAGCCUCCUGGUCUAGCACUGACGCUCAUGCACGAAAGCGUGGGGAGCAAACAGGAUUAGAUACCCGGGUAGUC